Molecule: small nuclear RNA, 200 nt
Filed under: Erinaceus europaeus (western European hedgehog)
Lineage: Eukaryota; Metazoa; Chordata; Mammalia; Eulipotyphla; Erinaceidae
Description: 7SK RNA
Rfam family: 7SK RNA
About the family: 7SK was discovered as an abundant small nuclear RNA in the mid-70s but a possible function has only recently been suggested. Two independent studies have found that 7SK RNA binds the CDK9/cyclin T complex (known as elongation factor P-TEFb).
Source: Rfam by way of RNAcentral
GAAUGGGAGGGUGAUCUGGCCGCGACAUCUGUCGCCCUAUUGAUCGCCAGGGUUGAUUUGGCUGAUCUGGCUGGCUAGGUGGGCGUCCCCUUCCUCCUUCACAGCUCCAUGUGUGUCCCUCCCUGACUAUCUUGGCUGCCUCCAUAAACAACUACUACAACAACAAAACACCAGGAUAGGAGCAGAAAGUGUUGUCAGAG